RNAcentral lists this long non-coding RNA (551 nucleotides) under Setaria italica (foxtail millet). RNAcentral describes it as "long non-coding RNA (SITA_LNC004055)". The record is from RNAcentral. Lineage: Eukaryota; Viridiplantae; Streptophyta; Magnoliopsida; Poales; Poaceae.
CGUAGGCGGCGAUGGCGACGCCGAAGGAGAUGGAGAGCAUGUUGAGCAUGGCGGAGGACUUGAAGUUCUCCUUCUUGAAGAGGACCCCGAUGGAGUAGACGGCGACGGGCAUGAGCGCCUUGAGCAUCUGGAUGAAGGAGACGGAGAGGUAGAUGUAGGCGGAGUUGGAGAACCAGAGCGAGAGCGAGUAGAGCGCGCCGAUGGGGAGCACGGAGGCGACGUAGAGCUGCGGCGUCAUGGCGGGAGACGAGGGCAGGUCGACGACACGGAGGACGCGGACGAGCGCGACGGCGAGGGAGGAGCAGAAGGCCAUGUGGACCAUGGUGAGGGAGAUGGGGAAGGGCCAGUUGUACAUCUUGGGGUCGAGGAUGUACUUAUUGUAGACGAUGACGGAGAAGGAGAGGAAGAUCCACACCGCCACGUACAUGUACGAGACGAGCACCUUGCGGAUCACCGACUCCGACAUGCCGCCGUCGCCUCCGCCGCCGCUGCCGGCGCCCUCCUUCCCCAUGGCUGUGGCUCCUGUCCGGCCGCCUUCUGUCCCCCGAGCU